CCAGACUCCUACGGGAGGCAGCAGUGGGGAAUAUUGGGCAAUGGGCGCAAGCCUGACCCAGCAACGCCGCGUGAAGGAAGAAGGCUUUCGGGUUGUAAACUUCUUUUUUCAGGGACGAAGCAAGUGACGGUACCUGAGGAAUAAGUCACGGCUAACUACGUGCCAGCAGCCGCGGUAAUACGUAGGCGGCAAGCGUUAUCCGGAUUUACUGGGUGUAAAGGGCGUGUAGGCGGGGCUGCAAGUCAGAUGUGAAAACCACGGGCGCAACCGUUGGCCUGCAUUUGAAACUGUUUUUCUUGAGUGCUGGAGAGGCGAUCGGAAUUCCGUGUGUAGCGGUGAAAUGCGUAGAUAUACGGCGGAACACC
RNAcentral lists this ribosomal RNA (365 nucleotides) under uncultured bacterium. RNAcentral's name for it is "bacterial SSU rRNA". It matches the Rfam family "Bacterial small subunit ribosomal RNA", at positions 331 to 710 of the family's 1533-position model. The record is from RNAcentral.